UUAAAUGUUCUUCGUGAACAUAGCGAACUGCUCAGUAACACGUGGAUAACCUACCCUUAGGACCGGAAUAACCCCGGGAAACUGGGGAUAAUACCGGAUAAGCCAUAGACGCUGGAAUGCCCUAUGGUUCAAAGCUCCGGCGCCUAAGGAUGGAUCUGCGGUCUAUCAGGUUGUAGUGGGUGUAACGUACCUACUAGCCGACGACGGAUACGGGUUGUGAGAGCAAGAGCCCGGAGAUGGAUUCUGAGACACGAAUCCAGGCCCUACGGGGUGCAGCAGGCGCGAACACUUUACAAUGCGGGAAACCGCGAUAAGGGAACCCCGAGUGCCAGCAUCAAAUGUUGGCUGUCCAGAUGAUUAAAAAUCAUUUGUUAGCAAGGGCCGGGCAAGACCGGUGCCAGCCGCCGCGGUAACACCGGCGGCCCGAGUGGUAGCCGUUUUUAUUGGGUCUAAAGGGUCCGUAGCCGGCCUGAUAAGUCCUUUGGGAAAUCUGGCAGCUUAACUGUCAGGCUUCUAAGGGAUACUGUCAGGCUUGGGACCGGAAGAGGUAAGGGGUACUCCAGGGGUAGGAGUGAAAUCUUGUAAUCCCUGGGGGACCAUCUGUGGCGAAGGCGCCUUACCAGAACGGGUCCGACGGUGAGGGACGAAAGCUAGGGGAGCAAACCGGAUUAGAUACCCGGGUAGUCCUAGCUGUAAACGAUGCUCGCUAGGUGUCAGACACGGUGCGACCGUGUUUGGUGCCGCAGGGAAGCCGUUAAGCGAGCCACCUGGGAAGUACGGUCGCAAGGCUGAAACUUAAA
RNAcentral lists this ribosomal RNA (800 nucleotides) under uncultured archaeon. RNAcentral describes it as "bacterial SSU rRNA". It matches the Rfam family "Archaeal small subunit ribosomal RNA", at positions 58 to 860 of the family's 1478-position model. The record is from RNAcentral.